GCUUCCGUAGCUCAACUGGAUAGAGUAUCGGGCUUCGAACCCGAGGGUUGGGGGUUCGAGUCCCUCCGGGAGCGCCA
This 77-nucleotide transfer RNA is filed under the name Gammaproteobacteria bacterium. RNAcentral's name for it is "tRNA-Arg". It matches the Rfam family "tRNA". Rfam says of the family: Transfer RNA (tRNA) molecules are approximately 80 nucleotides in length. Their secondary structure includes four short double-helical elements and three loops (D, anti-codon, and T loops). Further hydrogen bonds mediate the characteristic L-shaped molecular structure. tRNAs have two regions of fundamental functional importance: the anti-codon, which is responsible for specific mRNA codon recognition, and the 3' end, to which the tRNAs corresponding amino acid is attached (by aminoacyl-tRNA synthetases). tRNAs cope with the degeneracy of the genetic code in two manners: having more than one tRNA (with a specific anti-codon) for a particular amino acid; and 'wobble' base-pairing, i.e. permitting non-standard base-pairing at the 3rd anti-codon position. The record is from RNAcentral. Lineage: Bacteria; Pseudomonadati; Pseudomonadota; Gammaproteobacteria.